RNAcentral lists this small nucleolar RNA (91 nucleotides) under Ornithorhynchus anatinus (platypus). RNAcentral's name for it is "Small nucleolar SNORD12/SNORD106 (ENSOANG00000018255.2)". It matches the Rfam family "Small nucleolar SNORD12/SNORD106". Rfam says of the family: This family belong to the C/D class of snoRNA which contain the C (UGAUGA) and D (CUGA) box motifs. This family includes the human ortholog of mouse snoRNA HBII-99 and human snoRNA U106. In humans both HB11-99 and U106 snoRNAs share the same host gene. The record is from Rfam by way of RNAcentral. Lineage: Eukaryota; Metazoa; Chordata; Mammalia; Monotremata; Ornithorhynchidae.
CCUGGUGUAUAUGAUGACUGCACUUUUUUCCCCAUCAGAUCGACCAUGUUGAUCUCACUACACUAUGCCAGGUUCAAUCUGAUGCACCAGU